RNAcentral lists this unclassified non-coding RNA (275 nucleotides) under uncultured fungus. Its description in RNAcentral is "partial contains 5.8S ribosomal RNA, internal transcribed spacer 2, and large subunit ribosomal RNA". The stretch from base 1 to 52 matches the Rfam family "5.8S ribosomal RNA", at positions 103 to 154 of the family's 154-position model. The record is from RNAcentral. Lineage: Eukaryota; Fungi.
AACGCACAUUGCGCCCUUUGGUAUUCCGAAGGGCAUGCCUGUUCGAGCGUCAUUAUCCUUCCCUCACCCCCCCCGUUUGCGGGAGGUGGUCUUGGGACCGAGUCGGCACCCCAGCCAACUGGUCCUCAAAAGUAAUGACGGCGUCCGUGGGACCCUCGAUACAACGAGCUUUUUCGAAGGCACGUACCGAGUUUAAAGGACCUUCCGGGCCGGUCACACCUCUCAAUUUUUUUCAGGUUGACCUCGGAUCAGGUAGGAAUACCCGCUGAACUUAA